AAGAAGACAUUGUGGUUUUGUCUGGCCACAGCGUGUGGUUCUCUGAUCUUGGGGUGUGGAAGAAUCAGCACCAGACAAGGUUGCUGAUGGACAGUGGCAGAGAAAGAAAGACAACCCUGCCAGUUCUCAUGGACGUGGAAGACUGGACCAUCCUCUUCCAUGUCUCAUAUUGCCAAGUCAAAAUUAACAGCUGAACAAGGAUCUCAGACCAAACCCUACAUAAAAAGAAGCGAAAAUAAUAGGAACUUUAAAACUUAUGAUUUCUUGACACAUAUCUCAGCACUGAGAACAAGAGCAAGUCUUCCUUUUUCACAUAUUUCAUUUCAAUACAAG
This is a long non-coding RNA of Centrocercus urophasianus (Greater sage-grouse), 333 nucleotides long. RefSeq lists it as uncharacterized. The record is from RefSeq and is a predicted model, not a curated record. The transcript has 4 exons. Lineage: Eukaryota; Metazoa; Chordata; Aves; Galliformes; Phasianidae.